UACGAGAGGCCCAAACGUUAUCCGGAUUCACUGGGUUUAAAGGGUGCGUAGGUGGGUCUGUAAGUCAGUGGUGAAAUCUCCGUGCUUAACAUGGAAACUGCCAUUGAUACUAUAGGUCUUGAAUUUUCUGGAGGUAAGCGGAAUAUGUCAUGUAGCGGUGAAAUGCUUAGAUAUGACAUAGAACACCAAUUGCGAAGGCAGCUUGCUACAGGGAUAUUGACACUGAGGCACGAAAGCGUGGGGAUCAAACAGG
This 253-nucleotide ribosomal RNA is filed under the name uncultured bacterium. Its description in RNAcentral is "partial 16S ribosomal RNA". It matches the Rfam family "Bacterial small subunit ribosomal RNA", at positions 524 to 776 of the family's 1533-position model. The record is from RNAcentral.